GUUUCAGCCGCCGCGGUAAAACGUAGGAUCCGAGCGUUAUCCGAAUUCACUGGGCGUAAAGCGCGUGUAGGCGGUAUGGUAAGUUGGAUGUAAAAUCUCCUGGCUCAACUGGGAGGGGACGUUCAAUACUGUCAGACUAGAGGACGGCAGAGGGAGGUGGAAUUCCCGGUGUAGUGGUGAAAUGCGUAGAUAUCGGGAGGAACACCAGUGGCGAAGGCGGCCUUCUGGGCCGAUCCUGACGCUGAGACGCGAAAGCUAGGGGAGCAAACGGGAUUAGAAACCCUCGUAGUCC
RNAcentral lists this ribosomal RNA (292 nucleotides) under uncultured bacterium. RNAcentral describes it as "partial 16S ribosomal RNA". It matches the Rfam family "Bacterial small subunit ribosomal RNA", at positions 505 to 796 of the family's 1533-position model. The record is from RNAcentral.